Molecule: ribosomal RNA, 460 nt
Filed under: uncultured bacterium
Lineage: Bacteria
Description: partial 16S ribosomal RNA
Rfam family: Bacterial small subunit ribosomal RNA
Source: RNAcentral
CCUACGGGUGGCAGCAGUGAGGAAUAUUGGUCAAUGGCCGAGAGGCUGAACCAGCCAAGUCGCGUGAGGGAAGACGGCCCUACGGGUUGUAAACCUCUUUUGUUGGGGAGCAAAGCGAGUCACGUGUGACUCAUUGAGAGUACCCGAAGAAAAAGCAUCGGCUAACUCCGUGCCAGCAGCCGCGGUAAUACGGAAGGUCCGGGCGUUAUCCGGAUUUAGUGGGUUUAAAGGGAGCGUAGGCCGCAUGUCAAGCGUGCUGUGAAAUGUCCGGGCUCAACCCGGGCCUUGCAGCGCGAACUGGCGUGGUUGAGUCCGCGGAAAGCAGGCGGAAUUCGUCGUGUAGCGGUGAAAUGCUUAGAUAUGACGAAGAACCCCGAUUGCGAAGGCAGCUUGCUGCAGCGGAACUGACGCUGAUGCUCGAAAGCGCGGGUAUCGAACAGGAGUAGAUACCCUAGUAGUC